Long non-coding RNA from Mauremys mutica (yellowpond turtle), 999 nucleotides. RefSeq lists it as uncharacterized. The record is from RefSeq and is a predicted model, not a curated record. The transcript has 6 exons. Lineage: Eukaryota; Metazoa; Chordata; Testudines; Geoemydidae.
GCUUUAAAAGAAAGCACCUGGGCCUACAAAUGGGUGAGGGAUUCAGUGAGUCAUAGUUAGGCAUCAGCAGUAUUAUAACAACAUCAUUGUUGUUGCCAUCCCAUGGGAGGGGAGGCUGUGAGAACCUGAGAGGCAGAAGGGUCACACACAAAAACAAGAAACAACUUUGAGACAUUGUAGUCCAAGGCAGUCAUAAGAUGGAAGCAGCGGGAGGUGCAGACAGAUCUGAGAGAUCAUACUUGAGGAACAGCAACAGCAGUGCUUCCUGGUGAUUCUGCAGAAGGAAACGGUCAGAGAAGGAAAGAGGACUUCAAGGACCAGGAGGCUCAAGGUGCAACAGAUGCACUGAGAGGAGAGGAUAUGAGAGGCCUGCUCUCUUUGGCAUGAAAGCACUGGGUGGCACUUGUUUCUUUGGAAGAGACCAGGCAGCAAGCCCAGAAAAAGGAGGCGGAAGUUGCUGAGGGAAAAGUGAGAGCUGAAGUCCAGAUCAAGGGCCUGGAGGAUGAGUGGCAUUUGAAACAGGGCAUGCAAAAGGAGCUCUGAGGGAGAGAGUAAUUACUCUGUGAAAUCUCCCAGCUGAAAGGAGAGCUGGAGCCAACUACAGGCUGGAAAGCAGACAGGGAAAUGCUGGAGAAAGAAGUGAGGCUCUAUUAGUGGUGCUCAGCUGAAGUGGCUCAGCAAGUCUGAGGAAAACAUUUGAAAGAGACCAGAAUCCACAGGACAGAAAAGCUGUUGCAGUACCCAAAUGAUGACCUCAUUUCAAAUGCUCACAAUGGGGGAAAGAGAGCCAUUCUUGUGCAGAGUGGGAAAAGUGUACUGGAGGCAGAGGGUGAGGAUCAUCCCUGGGUAGCAAAGGAACAGAGGUGACUUACCCAUCCCUGAUUCAGAGGAUGCAGAGUUCACAGUUGUCUGUUGGAUAAGGCAAGAGCCUGGGAGUCAGGACUAGAGCUGCUCACUUUAAGCAAGAGAGAAGGGUUUAGUGGAACUGUGAGGCACCUC